RNAcentral lists this long non-coding RNA (1877 nucleotides) under Theobroma cacao (cacao). Its description in RNAcentral is "long non-coding RNA (TCAC_LNC003930)". The record is from RNAcentral. Lineage: Eukaryota; Viridiplantae; Streptophyta; Magnoliopsida; Malvales; Malvaceae.
GAAGAACAAACCCUAGGUGAGGAAUUUCAAGAGAAAAAGUGUGGAAAAUCAAGGAAAACAAGUGAAAAAGGUAAGAUUUUUCAACUUAAGCUUGAAAUCUAUUUUCCUUAAGCAUUUCUCCUUAUUUUCCAUGCUUAAAUUACAUGUUUUUAUGAUGAAUUGUUGGCUGAUCAAAAUGGGUUAGGAGAGAGAAAGUUGUUGGAUUAAUUUGAUUUUAAUUUAUGUUAGUGUUUUUAGUUAGUUUAGCAUAUUUAGAAACAAAACAACAAGAAAAGAAUUUAUUUUCUCCCCCAACCAUUAAUGGCUGAAUUUACCAUGUAGUGAGUGAGGAUGAGUUUGAUUUUAUUCUAGGAGAAUUGGUUAAGGAAUAAUGAAUUAUGAGCCUAGAAAAAUAAUGGGAAUUUUCGGAGCAAAAAUACGAAUUUUUACCCACUAGGGGUAUUUUCGUAAUUUGCUGUUGGGACUGAUAAUUUGCACCACACUGAGGGACAUUAAGUUAAUUUGGGUGCAAUUGAGGUAUAGAAACUGAAAAGAAUUAAAUUGGAGUUUAAACGGACCCGUUAGGAAUUUAAUCGGGUGAUAAGACGAAUUAGGCCAAUACCGGGUUUAGAUAGUUACCAGUGCAUUUUUGCAUUCCAUAUCAUGCAUUGGUAGUCUAAAUUAGUUUAAUUUUGAUUUAGUACCAACUUGGUGAAACUCUCGAUUUUGUACUGUGUCAAGGUGGUGAGUCCUCCGAUAAAGGCAAGAAAAUUGCAUCCGAGGACCAGUAGACAGAGUGCUUCGAAAGUCUGCAUUCUAGACAUUGUGAGUAAACUUACUGUCAUUUUAAUUAUCUAGGGUGGUUUUUAGAUGCUUUCAUGAAUUCUAUGGAAAAAGGAAUUUAAAAAGAUAAAUUUUCAUGUUUUAUGAAUAAAUGAGUUUCAAUGAAAUUAAAUUAUAAAUUGUUUUGAAAUUAAUAGUGAUUUUGAAAAAUAGAGUACACGGAGACUGUUAAUUGUGGCAAUUUGAUUGUUUAAAUUAACUGGCUUAUGAUAAAUCGAGCAUGAUUGGCUAGUUGGCAAUUGUAUUGAAAUGCGAAUUGUUUGGUUACCUUGAAAAACUACGAAUUACAAAAUUGCCAUAUCAUGUUAUUGAGUUUUAUUAUAUGGUGGAUUAUAUAUUAAUUAAUCACUGCAGUAGGGGGUUUCUGUGGACCAGCCUUUUAGAGGGGCACGGUAAACCCCAUUAUAUUCUUACCUCGAACGGAGAGGCGCGUAGGGUAUCUCCUGGGGUAAAGUUUAGGGUUCACUUCACGCUAAACCACCACGUGAGGGGGAACUCAGCCAACGCCAAGGAACGGCUAUGUUUUCAAAACAAAAACAUGAUUUAUGUGAAAUGUGAAUUUUAAUAGCCUUGGCGGUCUCGGUAGGAUGCCUCGGCCAAGGUGUCCCCGAGAAUGGAUUUAUGGCACAAGCCUAGAUUUUUAUGAGAUUCAUAAGCCUCUUUACGUGUUUUGAACAAAAUGUGUUCUAAUGCUAUAACCCAGUUUAUGAUGAUUUACUUUAUUGUCUCCAUGUACUCAACUCUAGAUGUUUAUGAUGAUGUUUGUUUACUCAUUGGGAUUUUAUAAUCUCACCACCCUCCUUUCCACCCAUUUCAGGUUCAGUAUAGACUGUAGAUAGCUGAUCUCAUCGAGGACUACAGUGGGAUCUGCAUUUUCCAAACCGUAGGUUCACAGUCCUCUUUACUUUUGUUUAUUCGGGGGCACUCUUGUUAUUGUAAAUUAAAUUAAAUAUUUUGGCUUACUGUAUUUAAGUAUGUAUAAAUUUAUUUAGCUUUUACGUUAUAAAAAUUAUUCACGUAUAACUCUAUAAAUAUUGUUUUAUAAGAAAAUAGAA